Molecule: ribosomal RNA, 301 nt
Filed under: uncultured bacterium
Lineage: Bacteria
Description: partial 16S ribosomal RNA
Rfam family: Bacterial small subunit ribosomal RNA
Source: RNAcentral
CAGCCGCCGCGGGAAUACGGAGGGAGCUAGCGUUGUUCGGAAUUACUGGGCGUAAAGCGCACGUAGGCGGCUUUGUAAGUUAGAGGUGAAAGCCUGGAGCUCAACUCCAGAAUUGCCUUUAAGACUGCAUCGCUUGAAUCCGGGAGAGGUGAGUGGAAUUCCGAGUGUAGAGGUGAAAUUCGUAGAUAUUCGGAAGAACACCAGUGGCGAAGGCGGCUCACUGGACCGGCAUUGACGCUGAGGUGCGAAAGCGUGGGGAGCAAACAGGAUUAGAUACCCCUGUAGUCCCUGUCUCUUAUAA